Magnolia sinica is the source of this 1141-nucleotide long non-coding RNA. RefSeq lists it as uncharacterized. The transcript has 2 exons. Lineage: Eukaryota; Viridiplantae; Streptophyta; Magnoliopsida; Magnoliales; Magnoliaceae. The record is from RefSeq and is a predicted model, not a curated record.
UACAUAAUUACACAAAAAAAGUUUGAAUCUAAAAUUCUUUAAUCUUGUCUUGAAUUUUGUAGUUGACUAGUUGUAGACUUGUUGUCUUGUAGAAUGUAGAUUCUUGCGUUCUUUGAACUCUUGCUUGAUCCAUGAAAGUUGAAUAUUUUUUUAUAUAUUCUUGACUCUUUUAACUUGUAAACUUGUAAAAGAAAUGUCUUGACUCUUGGGUUUUGAAUGUAGAUAGAGAUAUAGAAAUGUAGAAUGAGAAUGAGAAUGAAUGAAUGUAGAUUGUAGAGAAUGAGAAUGAAUGAAUGUAUAGAUUGGAGAGAAUGAGAAUUUCAAUAGAAAUGAAUGUAUAGAUUGUAGAGAAUGAGAAUGAAUGAAUGUAGAUUGUAGAAAUGAGAAGAAUGAAUGAAUUAGUCUAGUAGAUUGUAGAAAUGAGAAUCUAGAGAUUAAGGAGAUAUAGAAAUGAGAAGGAUUGAAUGAAUGAAUGUAGAUUGUAGAAAUGAGAAGAAUGAAUGAAUGUAGUAGUCUAGUAGAUUAUAGAAAUGAGAAGAAUGAAUGAAUGUAGUAGUCUAGUAGAUUGUAGAAAUGAGAAUCUAGAGAUUAAGGAGAUAUAGAAAUGAGAAGGAUUGAAUGAAUGAAUGUAGAUUGUAGAAAUGAGAAUCUAGAGAUAUAGAAGAAUAGAAAUGAGAAUGAAAGAAUGUAGAUUGUAGAGAAUCUAGAGAUUAAAAAAUGUACGUAGAGAAAGAGAGGAUGUAUGAAAUAUGAAUGAAUGAGAUAGAUGUAGAGAAUGAAUGUAAUAAUUUAAUAAGAGAAUGUAGAAAAUGAAAUGAAUGAGAUUAUGAGAAUGAGAUAAAUGUAGAAAAUGAAAUUAGAAAACAUAGAUGUUGAAACUUGAAAACAAAAUAAGAGACUUGGAAUUCGAUGUAUUCUUGCUUAUUCUAUCUUGAUUCUUGAUUGGUACUUGAAAGAAGUUGAAGCUUGGGCCUUAGAGACUUGGAACUUGAGAGUUGAAAGAUGGAGAAUGUAAGAGAGUGAGAGAUUUGAAAGUAUGAGAGUAGACAGGAGUUUGAGUGAGUGUCACUUGCAAAUAAAGGGGACUCGAAUGCCAUUUUAUAGGCAAAAAGUUCAGAUUUUGCAAAAUAAAAAAAUAAAU